CUAGGGAGGGUGGAGGAGGUGGGUUUGACUCAUGGGAGAGGGGGGGUGUAGAAUAGUUUUGCUAUAUAUAUGUAUAUAUAUAGUGAAUCUAUUCUACACCCCUCCCUCCCAUGGGUCAAACCCACCUUUCCCACCCUCCCNNNN
This 144-nucleotide microRNA precursor is filed under the name Oryza longistaminata (longstamen rice). RNAcentral describes it as "pre miRNA MIR2118". The record is from RNAcentral. Lineage: Eukaryota; Viridiplantae; Streptophyta; Magnoliopsida; Poales; Poaceae.